GGGGGGGACCCGGGCAAUGGGGGCUUGCGAACCUGGUCAGGCCGGGAACGGAGCAGCCAUAAGCAUCGCCUUCAUGUGCCCGGGAGAACCUCCCCGGC
Molecule: signal recognition particle RNA, 98 nt
Filed under: Singulisphaera acidiphila DSM 18658
Lineage: Bacteria; Pseudomonadati; Planctomycetota; Planctomycetia; Isosphaerales; Isosphaeraceae
Description: Bacterial small signal recognition particle RNA
Rfam family: Bacterial small signal recognition particle RNA
About the family: The signal recognition particle (SRP) is a universally conserved ribonucleoprotein involved in the co-translational targeting of proteins to membranes. Archaeal SRP consists of a 7S RNA and homologues of the eukaryotic SRP19 and SRP54 proteins.
Source: Rfam by way of RNAcentral